RNAcentral lists this ribosomal RNA (253 nucleotides) under uncultured bacterium. RNAcentral's name for it is "partial 16S ribosomal RNA". It matches the Rfam family "Bacterial small subunit ribosomal RNA", at positions 793 to 1055 of the family's 1533-position model. The record is from RNAcentral.
GUCCACACUGUAACGUUGAUUACUCGCUGUGUGCGAUAUACAGUACGCGGCUUAGCGAAGCGAUAAGUAAUCCACCUGGGGAGUACGCCGGCAACGGUGAACUCAAGGAAUUGACGGGGUCCGCACAAGCGGUGGAGCAUGUGGUUUAAUUCGAUGAUACGCGAGGAACCUUACCUGGGCUAGAAUGCCCUUGAUGGGUCCGGAGACGGAUCGUUCCGCAAGGACAAGGAGCAAGGUGCUGCAUGGCUGUCGU